CGCGGCUACCAUGCAGUCGAACGGUAACAGGAAACAGCUUGCUGUUUCGCUGACGAGUGGCGGACGGGUGAGUAAUGUCUGGGAAACUGCCUGAUGGAGGGGGAUAACUACUGGAAACGGUAGCUAAUACCGCAUAACGUCGCAAGACCAAAGAGGGGGACCUUCGGGCCUCUUGCCAUCGGAUGUGCCCAGAUGGGAUUAGCUAGUAGGUGGGGUAACGGCUCACCUAGGCGACGAUCCCUAGCUGGUCUGAGAGGAUGACCAGCCACACUGGAACUGAGACACGGUCCAGACUCCUACGGGAGGCAGCAGUGGGGAAUAUUGCACAAUGGGCGCAAGCCUGAUGCAGCCAUGCCGCGUGUAUGAAGAAGGCCUUCGGGUUGUAAAGUACUUUCAGCGGGGAGGAAGGGAGUAAAGUUAAUACCUUUGCUCAUUGACGUUACCCGCAGAAGAAGCACCGGCUAACUCCGUGCCAGCAGCCGCGGUAAUACGGAGGGUGCAAGCGUUAAUCGGAAUUACUGGGCGUAAAGCGCACGCAGGCGGUUUGUUAAGUCAGAUGUGAAAUCCCCGGGCUCAACCUGGGAACUGCAUCUGAUACUGGCAAGCUUGAGUCUCGUAGAGGGGGGUAGAAUUCCAGGUGUAGCGGUGAAAUGCGUAGAGAUCUGGAGGAAUACCGGUGGCGAAGGCGGCCCCCUGGACGAAGACUGACGCUCAGGUGCG
RNAcentral lists this ribosomal RNA (720 nucleotides) under Escherichia coli. RNAcentral describes it as "bacterial SSU rRNA". It matches the Rfam family "Bacterial small subunit ribosomal RNA", at positions 43 to 755 of the family's 1533-position model. Lineage: Bacteria; Pseudomonadati; Pseudomonadota; Gammaproteobacteria; Enterobacterales; Enterobacteriaceae. The record is from RNAcentral.